Molecule: ribosomal RNA, 118 nt
Filed under: Lates calcarifer (barramundi perch)
Lineage: Eukaryota; Metazoa; Chordata; Actinopteri; Centropomidae
Source: RNAcentral
GCUUACGGCCACACCACCCUGAGCCGCCCGAUCUCGUCUGAUCUCGGAAGCUAAGCAGGGUCGGGCCUGGUUAGUACUUGGAUGGGAGACCGCCUGGGAAUACCAGGUGCCGUAAGCU